RNAcentral lists this unclassified non-coding RNA (302 nucleotides) under uncultured Sporidiobolales. Its description in RNAcentral is "sequence contains 5.8S rRNA gene, ITS2, 28S rRNA gene". The stretch from base 1 to 52 matches the Rfam family "5.8S ribosomal RNA", at positions 103 to 154 of the family's 154-position model. The record is from RNAcentral. Lineage: Eukaryota; Fungi; Basidiomycota; Microbotryomycetes; Sporidiobolales.
AACGCAUCUUGCACUCUCUGGUAUUCCGGAGAGUAUGUCUGUUUGAGUGUCAUGAAUUCUUCAACCCUCCCUUUUCUUAGUGAAUUGAGAGGAGUUUGGAUUCUGAGUGUUGCUCCUUACACGAGCUCAUUCGUAAUAUAUUAGCAUCCAUAUUCGAAUUUCGGAUUGACUUGGCGUAAUAGACUAUUCGCUGAGGAAUCUAACUUCGGUUAGAGCCGUAUUUGAAAAAGGAAGCUGCUAAACUAGCUUAGUCUACUUUUAGAUUAGAUCUCAAAUCAGGCAGGAUUACCCGCUGAACUUAA